GACAGCACUGUAGCUGGUCAGAGAGAGAGAGACCAUUGACUCCCUCGCAGAUGACAUCGGAGCACAGACAAGGGACAAGAUCCGGAGUGAUACGGGCUACUGUAGAAACAGGGCCAUGAGCCACAGACUAACCUGGAAACCAGACCAGGGCCCAGCUUGUCAGCGAGGGGACAGAUAAUGGACUCCCUGAGCCUCCCUGAGCCGUGGCAUCAAGCUAGCCACCCACAGUGCAGUCCUGGCUAUUAAGAGGCACAAACUUGGAACACGUGGGAGACCUUGUUACCUACGGACAAACCUUGAUCUACAUCUGUAUUGCCAAUUACUUGCUCAACAAACCUGUUACUUUUUUGGAAAUAAUAAAUAAUUCAGGGGAAAAUCA
Molecule: long non-coding RNA, 379 nt
Filed under: Mus caroli (Ryukyu mouse)
Lineage: Eukaryota; Metazoa; Chordata; Mammalia; Rodentia; Muridae
Description: lncRNA (MGP_CAROLIEiJ_G0002729.1)
Source: RNAcentral